This 468-nucleotide ribosomal RNA is filed under the name uncultured bacterium. RNAcentral describes it as "partial 16S ribosomal RNA". It matches the Rfam family "Bacterial small subunit ribosomal RNA", at positions 28 to 507 of the family's 1533-position model. The record is from RNAcentral.
GAUGAACGCUGGCGGCGUGCUUAACACAUGCAAGUCGAACGGAAAGGCCCAAGCUUGCUUGGGUACUCGAGUGGCGAACGGGUGAGUAACACGUGGGUGAUCUGCCCUGCACUUCGGGAUAAGCCUGGGAAACUGGGUCUAAUACCGGAUAGGACGAUGGUUUGGAUGCCAUUGUGGAAAGUUUUUUCGGUGUGGGAUGAGCACGCGGCCUAUCAGCUUGUUGGUGGGGUAAUGGCCUACCAAGGCGUCGACGGGUAGCCGGCCUGAGAGGGUGUACGGCCACAUUGGGACUGAGAUACGGCCCAGACUCCUACGGGAGGCAGCAGUGGGGAAUAUUGCACAAUGGGCGCAAGCCUGAUGCAGCGACGCCGCGUGGGGGAUGACGGCCUUCGGGUUGUAAACUCCUUUCGCUAGGGACGAAGCGUUUUUGUGACGGUACCUGGAGAAGAAGCACCGGCUAACUACGUG